This 544-nucleotide ribosomal RNA is filed under the name Bacillus sp. (in: firmicutes). RNAcentral's name for it is "bacterial SSU rRNA". It matches the Rfam family "Bacterial small subunit ribosomal RNA", at positions 77 to 603 of the family's 1533-position model. Lineage: Bacteria; Bacillati; Bacillota; Bacilli; Caryophanales; Bacillaceae. The record is from RNAcentral.
AGCUUGCUCCCUAUUUCUCAGCGGCGGACGGGUGAGUAACACGUGGGCAACCUGCCCUACAGACUGGGAUAACUCCGGGAAACCGGAGCUAAUACCGGGUAAUACAUAGCAUCGCAUGAUGCAACGUUGAAAGUUGGCCUUUGACUAACACUGUAAGAUGGGCCCGCGGCGCAAUAACUAGUUGGUAAGGUAACGGCUUACCAAGGCCACGAUGCGUAACCCACCUGAGAGGGUGAUCGGCCACACUGGGACUGAAACACGGCCCAAACUCCUACGGGAGGCAGCAGUAGGGAAUCUUCCGCAAUGGACGAAAGUCUGACGGAACAACGCCCCGUGAGUGACGAAAGCCUUCGGGUCGUAAAGCUCUGUUGUUAGGGAAAAACAAGUACCGUUCGAAUAGGGCGGUACCUUGACGGUACCUAACCAGAAAGCCACGGCUAACUACGUGCCAGCAGCCGCGGUAAUACGUAAGUGGCAAGCGUUGUCCGGAAUUAUUGGGCGUAAAGCGCGCGCAAGCGGUCUCUUAAGUCUGAUGUGAAAGCCC